UUAUUAUAUAAGUGAAAUACACUCCACCUGGUUCACUUUACUGGCUCCAACGCCCUUUCAUUGCUAAGGUCUGCUGACUUUGCUUGGUGUGUAUGAGGAAGAUGCUGCAGCAAUAUAUUAAACUAAUUUACACCAAAAAAGCAGAGAUAAACGAGCCAGUAACGUUGCAGCUUAUCAAUACCAACAUUACAAUCUUUAAUAAUUUAGCCGUGGGGCUCAUUUUAUACCCAUCCCUAAAAGAAACAUAACAGUUUGUCAAGACCACCACCUAUAGCAAUGUUUCUUUAACUUAACAAUACUGAGACAAGACUGUCAAUUUUACAUUUACUCAUUUGGUAGAUGCUUUUAAAGCAACCUACAUUUCAGGAACUAAAAGCAUUAUGAAAGCAAGAUUAAUUUUACUAAGUUAGCUAACAUAACAGCCAAACACACUUUUGAAAGGGCUGUGAAAGUAAAUCAGUAAGGUACCACUACUUACUACUAAAUAGGCAGUUACUUAUUCAUGGAACACUAAUUUGUACAUCAAGCUAAAGUAAGCUUGUUCAACAUUAACCAACUCCUCAGACAUGGACUCUGACAUUUUAACUGAUAUAUGGAAGAUUCCAAAUAUUACAACAGAAUUACUCUUCCACGGUGACAAUGUUAACGUUACCUCUUGCCAACACGGUUUAAUUUGACAUUAACUAGUAAUGCAACUUCACUUCUCAAUUACAUGGCACAUUUAAGAUAAUCUAAACUAACCAUGUUCCGUACACUUUUCGCCUUUCACCGCACGUCAACGCCCACUCCUCUGUUAGUGAGAGCCAGACAAGCACGUCUGUGUGCGCAUUCUCUGGCAGGCUGCCAGCGGUAAUCCGUACAGAUCUCAUACCUUGAUUACAACUGCGAAAAUUUACUUUAAACGGAUAAUUUUUGAGUUUAUUUCUUUUAACGGAAGAGUAUACUAUUGAAAUCUAUAAGAAAGACAACAUUUAUGGCAAAGUGUCACUUCCUCCACCCCAGCGCACUCGAAGUGGAACCACAGUUGGCAAAGGUCACACUGCACCCAUUCGUCAAUGGCCCCAUCUCCUGAGCCAGGUGGGACCACUCUACUGCAGACAGCGCAGUGUUCCCCAUCUUCCUCGGUUGGAGAUGGUGCCUGUUUCUUCUGCCUUUUGGUCUCCUGUGCUUGUCUGUUUUCCUCCUUCUUUGCCAUAUCUUCCUGGCGCUUUCUCUUCUCUUCUUCCUUCUCUUUCUCCUCUGCUUCUUUCUCCUCUAGCAGGUUAACGUACUGGUCACUGGUGAUGACACGGGCUGGCAGCAGAAGGCGACGCCUUACCUUCUCCUUCCUGUCCAAGGCUGGGCUCAUGAGUACGUUGGCCAGACUUUCCGGAAUGACACCUGCUGCCACCAGUAGGUGGAUCGCUGGUUGUGUGUGUGUGAGUAGCAGUUGCACUGGAUGGCGUGGCUGAGGGAGUGAUGGAUGGCGUGGCAUCCCUUCGGUCAGCAGAUGGGAGCACUCUCACCACUCUCACCACCACAACCCCCCUGGACAGAGGAUAGAUGCCUGCCUUGCGGAACCCAGCCUUAAUAUUUUGGGCAUUGACAGCAGUGGGGUAGGCAUUCCUCAGCAGAGAAGAAAACUGCUUCUUCCCGACCACAAGAUCCCCUCGCACUAGACCCAUCCUGGAAGCCAUGGUGGAGAAAGCAGUCUUGAGGGGAUUAAAGACAGCAAUAUCCAGGAGGAACACCACGAGAUGCAAGCCAACCUUCUGUGACCUCCCAGUGAACCUGCUAGUGGAUGACUGACAUCUUCAAAACCUGCAAUGCAAGUACUCGGUGUACUCACAGAAAUGUCAACAAACAAGUAGUAUGAAAUGUUCAGUGACCUGUUCGCGUUGGCUGAGGAGUAUGAGGAUUCCCAGACCAAGUCUCCCAAGUCCACCCUCCACGCCUCACUUCCGCCCACCAACAAUGAGGAGGAGAGCAGUGCCUCAGUACGUAGCCCCACCUCCACCUGCUCCUCUAUGCGAGGACAACCGGAAUCUGCGUCUCGUUGUUUGAUUGGUCCGUUUCAAAACCACACAGAAAUCUGAUAUUUAAUGUGUCUGAUUUGUGAAACCAGGAAGCAGCUUUGUGUCUUCACCAAGCAGGAACCUCCAGGUUUGAAAAGUUACGCCUCAAACCUGCAUACUCUCUAACAGCCAGCAGGGGGCGACUCCACUGGAUCAUAUAGAAGUCAAUGAGAAAAUGUGGCUACUUCUCAGCUGAUUUAUUACCUCAGUAAACACUUUCCUAAUGAGUUUAUGGUCUCAGUCGCUAGUUUCAAGUGUUCUUCAACACAACAUUAUAACUAUAAUUUAUAGUAUUAAAUUAUGGUCCCAUUUAGAGGAAAAUAAACCAGAAAGCAGGGGAGGCUUUAGGGCGGGGCUACCUUGUGAUUGACAAGUCGCUAUGUGUGAAAUAUGGUACCCCAUGGAUGUUCAGUCUGUGUUCAGGACGGAGCUGAACACCUCUUUUCUCCAAGCUGGACAGGUAGGCUGGAAUAAAAUACAGCUGCUCAUUAUUUUCUAUAAAUUGAAAUCAAAGACAUUCUGUUAGCUUCCUGGUCAGCUUCCAGUCUGAAGGGGAGAUGUUUGUUAACCUGCUUCACUUCUUUCACCCUUUGGCUUCUCCAGACUUUUGUUGGUCUGGAGAAGCUGAAGCAUUUAUUGCCUGACACACAGACACCGUACUUUUACUGCCAGAAUAUUUUCUUCUCUGAGAUUCACUGUCACUUUCUGUCACUCGGACAAUCAAACACUCUAAGACCUCCCAGAUUAAAGGAGCUGCUCUGAUAACAGCACCUGUCAGAUAGACGUCCUGCACUUUUUUUCGGCAGGGUCUUAAAGUCUUAUAUUCGCUGAAGUUUCUGUUCUAGGUCUUAAAUAAUUUUAAAUGGGUAUUUAUUUUCCAACAUCCAUGUAACGCUGCCUCAUUGAAAUGCCCCCGCAGCGCUCAAGAAUGUUUUCCUCCCGUGGUGGUGUAGUUCUUUCUGUUGCUAGUCCAAAUCGGUACAAAUAUAAUUCACUAUAUUUUGAAUACAUAGACUAACAGGCAGCUUUGGUGUUAUUGCUGCAAGUCUCUUUCGGAAUAUACCACAGAUAUAAAACGGAUUUAUUCUUCAGCUAUGGGGAAGUGCAACCUUAAUUUCUACAAAUGUAUAAAGUGGCAAAUUAAGACAAGGCAAACAUGAAUAAUCCCAUCUGUAAUGAUUCUGAGGUCAUGUGUUUUCCUGCCAUUAUAAGGUGGUGAGGCUGAAAAUAGCUUGGUGCUGCGCAAUGAAUAUAAAAUCACUGGAGAGCAUCAAGACUAACCAAAUGAAUUUUCCCAGAUCUACUGGUUAGAAUUCAACCCCAGUAGACUUAUUUAGCAAGUUUAGCUUUUGGGGUGUCGUUUAUUCCAAAUCAGCUGUAGAAUUUCCUACAUAUUCACAGAUGUGGUAAUAACAAUGUUACAAAAUUGUGUGGAAUUGCAUAUUUCUUUGUUGGAAAACAUAAUUUUCUUGGGGGAGGACCCCCAAUCCCCCACACAAACAUACCAUCUUAAUCUUUUUACAAUAUAAGGCCCCGUGAAAGCAUGUUUUAAUCCCCAUGGACAUUAUUUCUAUUAUUAUUAUUUGUAAAUGUACCUGCAUUGCGCCUGCCUCGCGCCUGCCUCAACUUCUCCCUGCACUCACACACACACGCACACACACACCUUUACCUCUUGUCUCUCACUGCAAACACACCGGCUUUCCCUGCUUCUCUAUGUCUCCCUGUCUGCUCCCCGGAGUUUAUCCAUCAGCAGUACUUAUGUUUUAUAAAGUCACCGAAAAGACACAGAAUUCUUUCCCCCCUGAAACCUGCAGAAACCCUGAUUGUUCCAUUACCACGUCUACUGACUUAAAUAUUUGCAUAGUGUGAGACUUCUUAUUUUAAACAAUCUUUAUUAGCCAUCUUUAUUUGCUUAUGAUUCCAUGAAACUCCACAUUUUAAGCUCCCUUUAUAUUUUUUAAGUAAAAGUGCUGCUGAUGGAAUAAAAUUACGCAUAGUUGCUUUUUACACAAAACACAGUAAAGUAAGUAGUAAAAGAAAAUUUUAUUUAACUCAAGAGAUUCAAGUUAUUAUCACUUAACACCAAAAGAUCUCAUUAAGAAUCUAGAAAUAGAGAAUGUUCAACAUUAUUGCAAAAAAGAGUGAAAACAAACUGAUUAUCAAAAUUGUUGCUCGUUAAUUAUCUGAUCAAGCAGUCACUUACUUUGUCUAUUUAACUUUAUGCAAGAUGUGCCUUAUUUUGUGUCUGUUAAAUGUAGAAAUGACAGACGAUGUGAGAAGAUCAUACUAAUAAAGAGAACUUGAAUUGUAA
Micropterus salmoides (largemouth bass) is the source of this 4365-nucleotide long non-coding RNA. RefSeq lists it as uncharacterized. NCBI's taxonomy places the organism in Eukaryota, Metazoa, Chordata, Actinopteri, Centrarchiformes, Centrarchidae. The record is from RefSeq and is a predicted model, not a curated record. The transcript has 6 exons.